GAUGAACGCUGGCGGCGUGCCUAAUACAUGCAAGUCGAGCGACCGGACGAGAAGCUUGCUUCUCUGAUGUUAGCGGCGGACGGGUGAGUAACACGUGGAUAACCUACCUAUAAGACUGGGAUAACUUCGGGAAACCGUAGCUAAUACCGGAUAAUAUUUUGAACCGCAUGGUUCAAAAGUGAAAGACGGUCUUGCUGUCACUUAUAGAUGGAUCCGCGCUGCAUUAGCUAGUUGGUAAGGUAACGGCUUACCAAGGCAACGAUGCAUAGCCGACCUGAGAGGGUGAUCGGCCACACUGGAACUGAGACACGGUCCAGACUCCUACGGGAGGCAGCAGUAGGGAAUCUUCCGCAAUGGGCGAAAGCCUGACGGAGCAACGCCGCGUGAGUGAUGAAGGUCUUCGGAUCGUAAAACUCUGUUAUUAGGGAAGAACAUAUGUGUAAGUAACUGUGCACAUCUUGACGGUACCUAAUCAGAAAGCCACGGCUAACUACGUG
Molecule: ribosomal RNA, 497 nt
Filed under: uncultured bacterium
Lineage: Bacteria
Description: partial 16S ribosomal RNA
Rfam family: Bacterial small subunit ribosomal RNA
Source: RNAcentral